RNAcentral lists this ribosomal RNA (253 nucleotides) under uncultured bacterium. Its description in RNAcentral is "partial 16S ribosomal RNA". It matches the Rfam family "Bacterial small subunit ribosomal RNA", at positions 524 to 776 of the family's 1533-position model. The record is from RNAcentral.
UACGUAGGGUGCAAGCGUUGUCCGGAAUUAUUGGGCGUAAAGAGCUCGUAGGCGGCUUGUCGCGUCGGCUGUGAAAACCUGGGGCUCAACCCCGGGCCUGCAGACGAUACGGGCAAGCUAGAAUUCGGUAGGGGAGACUGGAAUUCCUGGUGUAGCGGUGAAAUGCGCAGAUAUCAGGAGGAACACCGGUGGCGAAGGCGGGUCUCUGGGCCGAAACUGACGCUGAGGAGCGAAAGCGUGGGGAGCGAACAGG